UACGUAGGGGGCAAGCGUUGUCCGGAUUUACUGGGCGUAAAGAGCGCGCAGGCGGUCGAUCAAGUCGAGUGUGAAAGCCCCCGGCUCAACUGGGGAGGGUCAUUCGAUACUGAUCGACUCGAAGGCAGGAGAGGGUAGUGGAAUUCCCGGUGUAGUGGUGGAAUGCGUAGAUAUCGGGAGGAACACCAGUGGCGAAGGCGACUACCUGGCCUGUUCUUGACGCUGAGGCGCGAAAGCUAGGGGAGCAAACGGG
RNAcentral lists this ribosomal RNA (253 nucleotides) under uncultured bacterium. Its description in RNAcentral is "partial 16S ribosomal RNA". It matches the Rfam family "Bacterial small subunit ribosomal RNA", at positions 524 to 776 of the family's 1533-position model. The record is from RNAcentral.